Molecule: ribosomal RNA, 445 nt
Filed under: uncultured bacterium
Lineage: Bacteria
Description: bacterial SSU rRNA
Rfam family: Bacterial small subunit ribosomal RNA
Source: RNAcentral
AACGCGAAGAACCUUACCUGGGCUUGACAUGCAUCGUGUCGCCGGUGAAAGCCGGCUAGUGUAGCAAUACACGCUUUGCACAGGUGCUGCAUGGCUGUCGUCAGCUCGUGUCGUGAGAUGUUGGGUUAAGUCCCGCAACGAGCGCAACCCUUGUCCUGUGUUGCCAUACUGUAAAAAGUGGAACUCGCAGGAGACCGCCAGGGAUAACCUGGAGGAAGGUGGGGAUGACGUCAAGUCCUCAUGGCCUUUAUGUCCAGGGCUACACACGUGCUACAAUGGACGGUACAAAGGGCUGCCAACCCGCGAGGGGGAGCCAAUCCCAAAAAACCGUUCUCAGUUCGGAUUGCAGGCUGCAACUCGCCUGCAUGAAGCUGGAAUCGCUAGUAAUGGCGGAUCAGAACGCCGCCGUGAAUACGUUCCCGGGCCUUGUACACACCGUAGAGAC